GUCCUGCGGAGACAAAAGAGGGGUGUGUGGGGUGAGAGAGGUAAACAGAGAAAGAGAAGGAGGACAAAACAGAGAGAGAGACUCUUGUGGAGAGAAUGUAAAGACGACCUAAAACUGAAUUCUGGCUAUGAAGAGGGGGGAAGACCAGACUGAAAAAUACAACCCACAUGCAUGUUAAGCAGUUGGUUAUUCAACAGAACAACAGCCUUAACUGCGCGACAGCAUUUGGAGAACUGCCUGCAUUAAACAAGUCCAGCAAGAGAAGGCAAUAAACUGGGGAGAAGAGGGAAAAAAACCCUUCGGAAUGAGACAAACAUAAGCGAAACAAGACUGGACAGCAGUCAAAAGGCAGCCUGUACACAACUCUGGAGGAGUUAAACAGUCAGCCAGGCUACUUGUAAAUUCCUAAAAUCAACUGCUGGAACUGGAGCAAGGGAAAAAGGGGCAGAACAUUCAUCUCCCCUCAGGAGGCCAUCCAGAUUAGGAACAGAGCCAGCGCAUUGGUCCGAAUACGUCUACUUGUUACUGACAGCUGUGCCCAAACAAGAGAAUGGAUGCCAGACAGCAAGUACUUGACAUCCUCCAAAACAUCUGGACCAAGCUACAGACUCUCCCUGAAGCAAACUCAAUUGAGAUAGGAGGCUUCAUCAUCCUCCUCAUCUUCGUUUUGACAUUCCUGGCCUUGGUGGUGUUUGCUUGUGCACAGUGCUGCUGUAGCUGUGGACGAGGCCCGAGAAAAAACAACUCUGUCAUCUGAACUGUCUCUACAGUCCAGUCAACCAUGGAGAGAUACCAGACAAUGAAAGAGGGACAGAGAAAAGAAGGGACGGAUAGAGGUCACUACAAAAGCUUUGGGGAAAUUAGUUUUUGCACUGGGCUUUUUCACGCCUGCCCCCAUGACACAGUAAAAAUUAAAAAGAAAGAAGUAAAGUCUGAGGAGAGAGAAUGGUCUUCUCAGCUCUCUGGUGUCAACUGAAGGAACUUGAGAAUAUACAGAGUGCACUAAAACACACCCAAAAUGUGGCUUUUACUCUUUCACAUAUAUGUGAUGCUUGUGAAUAAUCUCACAAAUGUAAUCUGUACUAUAACUUUGAGGUAUGUAUGAGUGCAAUGGAUCAGGGAAGGAGCGUCAAAGCUAUGCAAGUCAACUGGAACAGGAAGUGGCGGCUCAGUGAUUAUGGCUGUGGGCUAACGACUGAAAGGUCAUGAAUUUAAAUCCUAGAAUGACCAAGCUCACCAUUGUUGGGUCCAUGAGCAAGAACCUUAACUCUCCCCUGCUCAGUUGGAUCUUCUCUCAAUUUUCACUUUAAAUAAAAGCAUCAACCAAAUGAGCAAAUGUACAAAUGAAAUAAAUUUGGGACUGUUGGGAUGAA
Neoarius graeffei (lesser salmon catfish) is the source of this 1373-nucleotide long non-coding RNA. RefSeq lists it as uncharacterized. NCBI's taxonomy places the organism in Eukaryota, Metazoa, Chordata, Actinopteri, Siluriformes, Ariidae. The record is from RefSeq and is a predicted model, not a curated record. The transcript has 3 exons.